This 492-nucleotide ribosomal RNA is filed under the name uncultured bacterium. Its description in RNAcentral is "partial 16S ribosomal RNA". It matches the Rfam family "Bacterial small subunit ribosomal RNA", at positions 29 to 507 of the family's 1533-position model. The record is from RNAcentral.
AGUGAACGCUGGCGGUAGGCCUAACACAUGCAAGUCGAACGGCAGCACAGUAAGAGCUUGCUCUUACGGGUGGCGAGUGGCGGACGGGUGAGGAAUACAUCGGAAUCUACUUUUUCGUGGGGGAUAACGUAGGGAAACUUACGCUAAUACCGCAUACGACCUACGGGUGAAAGCAGGGGAUCUUCGGACCUUUCGCGAUUGAAUGAGCCGAUGUCGGAUUAGCUAGUUGGCGGGGUAAAGGCCCACCAAGGCGACGAUCCGUAGCUGGUCUGAGAGGAUGAUCAGCCACACUGGAACUGAGACACGGUCCAGACUCCUACGGGAGGCAGCAGUGGGGAAUAUUGGACAAUGGGCGCAAGCCUGAUCCAGCCAUACCGCGUGGGUGAAGAAGGCCUUCGGGUUGUAAAGCCCUUUUGUUGGGAAAGAAAAGCAGCAGGUUAAUACCCCGCUGUUCUGACGGUAACCAAAGAAUAAGCACCGGCUAACUUCGUG